MicroRNA precursor from Dasypus novemcinctus (nine-banded armadillo), 98 nucleotides. NCBI's taxonomy places the organism in Eukaryota, Metazoa, Chordata, Mammalia, Cingulata, Dasypodidae. The record is from Ensembl.
AGUGUGAUUAAUGAGUCACAUGCUGAGAUAAGUUGACCUUAGUAAUCAUGCUAAAAUGUCUUCCAAAGUGGCUGUACCAUUUGCAUUCCCUCCAGCAA